UCAUAACAGUUAAAUAUAGUAGAAAUCUGUUUAUCUGUGAAAUGUUCUUCCAUGUUGCUUUGUUUAGCAUUUUCUUCCCAUGAACAAUUUAACCCUUCAAAGGGAGGGAGCGUAAUACGUAGUUGUAGCCAGGAUAACAUC
This is a long non-coding RNA of Etheostoma spectabile (orangethroat darter), 141 nucleotides long. RefSeq lists it as uncharacterized. The transcript has 3 exons. NCBI's taxonomy places the organism in Eukaryota, Metazoa, Chordata, Actinopteri, Perciformes, Percidae. The record is from RefSeq and is a predicted model, not a curated record.